AACCUGGUUGAUCUUGCCAGUAGUCAUAUGCUUGUCUCAAAGAUUAAGCCAUGCAAGUGAAAGUAUAUGCAUAUUUUAUAUGUAGAAACUGCGAACGGCUCAUUAAAACAGUUAUAAUCUACUUGACAUUUUCUAUAUAAGGAUAACUACGGAAAAGCUGUAGCUAAUACUUGCUUUAGCACUCUUGAUUUAUUUCUUGAGUGUGUACUUGUUAAGCCUUAUAAGAAAGAAGUUAUUAACUUAAGGAAUUAUAACAAAGAAGUAACACGUAAUGGAUUCACUCCAUUUUUUAGUGUGUAUCAAUCGAGUUUCUGACCUAUCAGCUUUUGAUGUUAGGGUAUUGGCCUAACAUGGCUAUGACGGGUAACGGGGAAUUAGAGUUCGAUUCCGGAGAGGGAGCCUGAGAAAUAGCUACCACAUCUAAGGAAGGCAGCAGGCGCGUAAAUUACCCAAUUCUAAAGAAGAGAGGUAGUGACAAGAAAUAACAAUACAAGACCAAAACUGGUUUUGUAAUUGGAAUGAUGGGAAUUUAAAUCCUUCCCAGAAUACAAUUGGAGGGCAAGUCUGGUGCCAGCAGCCGCGGUAAUUCCAGCUCCAAUAGCGUAUAUUAAAAUUGUUGCAGUUAAAACGCUCGUAGUUGAAUUUCAAAGAACCGAUAUUUUAAUAAUGCUGUUUAGCUAGGAGCCACAAAAAUUGAUACUUUAAUCGUAUCCAUUUUGUGCGCAUUUCUACCUUAUCAAGUGUUUUUUUAAUUAAAGUGUUUCUUUUUAAAAUCUUCUUUAGCUAAUAUAAAUCAUAUGGAAGAUUUUGUUACUUUGAGUAAAUUAAAGUGUUCAAAGCAGACAGAGAUAUAGCAUAAAAUGCGUUUGAAUACUACAGCAUGGAAUAACAAAAUUGAACAAGUCAAAACUAUGUUUCUUUUUUUUUAUUUUUGGCUUAGUUACGAUUAAUAGGAGUAGUUUGGGGACAUUUGUAUUCAGAUGUCAGAGGUGAAAUUCUAAGAUUUUCUGGAGACAAACAACUGCGAAGGCAUUUGUCUAAAAUACUUCCAUUAAUCAAGAACGAAAGUUAAGGGAGUGAAGACGAUCAGAUACCGUCGUAAUCUUAACCAUAAACUAUACCGACUAGGUUUUGGAUGAAAGUAAAACAAAUAAGGAUAGUCUCUUCGGGGAUAGUCCUUAGAUUUCUUCCUUCAGUACCCUAUGAGAAAUCAAAGUCUUUGGGUUCUGGGGCGAGUAUUCGCGCAAGCGAGAAAGUUAAAAGAAUUGACGGAAGGGCACCACCAGGCGUGGAGCUUGCGGCUUAAUUUGACUCAACACGGGAAAACUCACUAGUUUAAGACAAGAGUAGGAUUGACAGAUUAAUAGCUCUUUCUUGAUUUCUUGGAUGGUGAUGCAUGGCCGUUUUUAGUUCGUGAAUAUGAUUUGUCUGGUUAAUUCCGAUAACGAACGAGAUCUUAACCUGCUAAUUAGCGGUAAAUACAACAUAUUUUUAUGUUGAAUUGGAUUCGGACGAAUUUUGCUUAUAUUUGAAGUUCAUUAUAAUGAAGGAUAGUGAAAUACUUUAGUUCGCAUCAGUGUUUUUUCAUCGAAUCGUUGAUGCUUCUUGUAUAUCUCAUCCUCUCUGUUCCCUGUGCUUCAUUAUCAAGCUUUUCAUACCGUUUCCUUUUUUUUAUGUAGAAAUGUAUUUGCUUUAUGUAAAGCUUCUUAGAGGAACGAUGUGUGUCUAACACAAGGAAGUUUAAGGCAACAACAGGUCUGUGAUGUCCUUAGAUGAACUAGGCUGCACGCGUGCUACAAUGAUAUGUACAACGAGUUACUUAGAAAUAUGCAUAUGUUAUUUGUGCUUAAUUCAGCCUUUUAUCAUUAUGACAUACUUUUCCUCCACUGAAAAGUGUAGGUAAUCUUUAUUAGUACAUAUCGUGAUGGGGAUAGAUUAUUGCAAUUAUUAAUCUUGAACGAGGAAUGCCUAGUAAGCAUGAUUCAUCAGAUUGUGCUGACUACGUCCCUGCCCUUUGUACACACCGCCCGUCGCUCCUACCGAUUGAAAGAUAUGAUGAAUUGUUUGGACAAGAAGAACGGGGAUUAUAUGUUCGUUUUUCUGGAAAAACCGUAAAUCCUAUCUUUUAAAGGAAGGAGAAGUCGUAACAAGGUUUCCGUAGGUGAACCUGCGGAAGGAUCAUUA
This is a non-coding RNA of Plasmodium fragile, 2184 nucleotides long. The record is from Rfam. NCBI's taxonomy places the organism in Eukaryota, Apicomplexa, Aconoidasida, Haemosporida, Plasmodiidae.